UGCUAAUGACACGAUCAUCAUCAUCAUCAUCAUAGUCAACAGUCAACGACGUCUUCUUUGGAAGUGACAAUUUUGUUCCGACGAUUUUUUCUUUCUUUGAUUGAAACAAUGUUUGGUU
Dermatophagoides farinae (American house dust mite) is the source of this 118-nucleotide non-coding RNA. Lineage: Eukaryota; Metazoa; Arthropoda; Arachnida; Sarcoptiformes; Pyroglyphidae. The record is from RefSeq and is a predicted model, not a curated record.